This 506-nucleotide ribosomal RNA is filed under the name uncultured bacterium. RNAcentral describes it as "partial 16S ribosomal RNA". It matches the Rfam family "Bacterial small subunit ribosomal RNA", at positions 29 to 523 of the family's 1533-position model. The record is from RNAcentral.
AUUGAACGCUGGCGGCAGGCCUAACACAUGCAAGUCGAACGGCAGCACAGAAGAGCUUGCUCUUUGGGUGGCGAGUGGCGGACGGGUGAGUAAUGUCUGGGAAACUGCCCGAUGGAGGGGGAUAACUACUGGAAACGGUAGCUAAUACCGCAUAACGUCGCAAGACCAAAGUGGGGGACCUUCGGGCCUCACACCAUCGGAUGUGCCCAGAUGGGAUUAGCUAGUAGGUGGGGUAAUGGCUCACCUAGGCGACGAUCCCUAGCUGGUCUGAGAGGGUGGCGAGCCACACUGGAACUGAGACACGGUCCAGACUCCUACGGGAGGCAGCAGUGGGGAAUAUUGCACAAUGGGCGCAAGCCUGAUGCAGCCAUGCCGCGUGUAUGAAGAAGGCCUUCGGGGUGUAAAGUACUUUCAGCGGGGAGGAAGGCGGUGAGGUUAAUAACCUUGCCGAUUGACGUUACCCGCAGAAGAAGCACCGGCUAACUCCGUGCCAGCCGCCGCCGUAA